This 321-nucleotide unclassified non-coding RNA is filed under the name Hevea brasiliensis (rubber tree). The record is from RNAcentral. Lineage: Eukaryota; Viridiplantae; Streptophyta; Magnoliopsida; Malpighiales; Euphorbiaceae.
GUAAUGUAAUCCUUAGAUUUAUUGUAAAGCUUCUUCAUAUGAUAUCAUGCAAUGACUCCUCUGUUUGGUGAGACAUGAUAGCUUGAUGCUCUGAUUUAAUGUACUUAUUCCUUUCUUUCUUUCCUUUUUAUUUAUUAUUUUUUUUGGCUUGAAGAGUGAAACACUGUAGCUUGCUGAUGCAGGAUAUUAUUUUCACCAUGUAAUUGUAUUAUAUAAAGUUCCUUUAUGUUCUGUGGAAUAAUUGUAUGUAGUUUCUAUCUUUUGGUUUCUUCAUGAGAUGAGAAAUUGUAAUGUUUGCAGGUGCUAGAUGAGUAUCAGAAG